UUGCCUUAGCAGCAUAUAUAGUAAAAUUGGAAUGAUACAGAGAUUAUCAUGGCCUCUGCACAAGGAUGAUACACAAAUUUGUGAAAUGUUCUAUAUUUUG
Molecule: small nuclear RNA, 100 nt
Filed under: Canis lupus familiaris (dog)
Lineage: Eukaryota; Metazoa; Chordata; Mammalia; Carnivora; Canidae
Also listed under: 1 other name
Source: RNAcentral